Molecule: ribosomal RNA, 456 nt
Filed under: uncultured bacterium
Lineage: Bacteria
Description: bacterial SSU rRNA
Rfam family: Bacterial small subunit ribosomal RNA
Source: RNAcentral
UGGAGGCAGCAGUAAGGAAUAUUGGUCAAUGGCCGGAAGGCUGAACCAGCCAAGUCGCGUGAGGGACGACUGCCCUAUGGGUUGUAAACCUCUUUUAUAAGGGAAGAAUAAAUGCUACGUGUAGCAUGAUGCCUGUACCUUAUGAAUAAGCAUCGGCUAACUCCGUGCCAGCAGCCGCGGUAAUACGGAGGAUGCGAGCGUUAUCCGGAUUUAUUGGGUUUAAAGGGUGCGUAGGCGGUUUUUUAAGUUAGUGGUUAAACGUCGGGGCUUCACCUUGAUUUGCCAUUAAUACUGUAAGACUCGAGUUCAGACGAGGUAGGCGGAAUAAGUUAAGUAGCGGUGAAAUGCUUAGAUAUAACUUAGAACUCCGAUAGCGAAGGCAGCUUACCAGACUGCGACUGACGCUGAAGCACGAGAGCGUGGGUAGCGAACAGGAUUAGAAACCCUUGUAGUCCA